This 75-nucleotide transfer RNA is filed under the name Chagunius chagunio. Its description in RNAcentral is "tRNA-Leu". It matches the Rfam family "tRNA". From Rfam's summary of the family: Transfer RNA (tRNA) molecules are approximately 80 nucleotides in length. Their secondary structure includes four short double-helical elements and three loops (D, anti-codon, and T loops). The record is from RNAcentral. Lineage: Eukaryota; Metazoa; Chordata; Actinopteri; Cypriniformes; Cyprinidae.
GCUGGGGUGGCAGAGCAUGGUAAUUGCAAAAGGUCUAAGCCCUUUCAACCAGAGGUUCAAGUCCUCUUCUCAGUU